RNAcentral lists this ribosomal RNA (407 nucleotides) under uncultured bacterium. Its description in RNAcentral is "partial 16S ribosomal RNA". It matches the Rfam family "Bacterial small subunit ribosomal RNA", at positions 29 to 526 of the family's 1533-position model. The record is from RNAcentral.
AUUGAACGCUGGCGGCAGGCCUAACACAUGCAAGUCGAGCGGAGAGGCGGACGGGGGAGUAAUGUCUGGGAAACUGCCUGAGGGAGGGGGAGAACGACUGGAAACGGUAGCUAAUACCGCCAACAAUCCGGUUAGCCCAGGUCGGAUUUGCUAGUUGGUGGGGUAAAGGCCUACCAAGGCGACGAGCCGUAACUGGGCUGAGAGGAUGAUCAGUCACACUGGAACUGAGACACGGGCCAGACUCCUACGGGAGGCAGCAGUGGGGAAUAUUGGACAAUGGGCGAAAGCCUGAUCCAGCCAUGCCGCGUGUGUGAAGAAGGUCUUCGGAUUGUAAAGCACUUUAAGUUGGGAGGCGUUACCAACAGAAUAAGCACCGGCUAACUCCGUGCCAGCAGCCGCGGUAAUAC